RNAcentral lists this ribosomal RNA (460 nucleotides) under uncultured bacterium. RNAcentral describes it as "partial 16S ribosomal RNA". It matches the Rfam family "Bacterial small subunit ribosomal RNA", at positions 338 to 795 of the family's 1533-position model. The record is from RNAcentral.
CCUACGGGUGGCAGCAGUGAGGAAUAUUGGUCAAUGGACGAGAGUCUGAACCAGCCAAGUAGCGUGAAGGAUGAAUGCCCUAUGGGUUGUAAACUUCUUUUAUAAAGGAAUAAAACGGGGCACGUCUGCCUUUUUGCGUGUACUUUAUGAACAAGGAUCGGCUAACUCCGUGCCAGCAGCCUCGGUAAUACGGAGGAUUCGAGCGUUAUCCGGAUUUAUUGGGUUUAAAGGGAGCGUAGAUGGGUUGUUAAGUCAGUUGUGAAAGUUUGCGGCUCAACCGUAAGAUUGCAAUUGAUACUGUCAUUCUUGAGUACAGUUGAGGUAAGCGGAAUUCGUGGUGUAGCGGUGAAAUGCGUAGAUAUCACGAAGAACCCCGAUGGCGAAGGCAGCUUACUAAACUGUGACUGACAUUGAUGCGCGAAAGUGUGGGUAGCAAACAGGAUUAGAUACCCGGGUAGUC